This 253-nucleotide ribosomal RNA is filed under the name uncultured bacterium. RNAcentral's name for it is "partial 16S ribosomal RNA". It matches the Rfam family "Bacterial small subunit ribosomal RNA", at positions 524 to 776 of the family's 1533-position model. The record is from RNAcentral.
UACAGAGGCCCCAAGCGUUACUGAGAAUCACUGGGUUUAAAGGGUGCGUAGGUGGCGCGUUAAGUCCGUUGUGAAAGCCCUGGGCUCAACCUAGGAAGUGCAUUCGAAACUGCGGGGCUGGAGUCCUGGAGAGGAAGGCGGAAUUCUCGGUGUAGAGGUGAAAUUCGUAGAUAUCGAGAGGAACACCGGUGGCGAAGGCGGCCUUCUGGACAGUGACUGACGCUGAGACGCGAAAGCGUGGGGAGCAAACAGG